RNAcentral lists this ribosomal RNA (307 nucleotides) under Lolium arundinaceum. RNAcentral describes it as "eukaryotic LSU rRNA". It matches the Rfam family "Eukaryotic large subunit ribosomal RNA", at positions 56 to 364 of the family's 3401-position model. Lineage: Eukaryota; Viridiplantae; Streptophyta; Magnoliopsida; Poales; Poaceae. The record is from RNAcentral.
GAAGAAACUUANAAGGAUUCCCCUAGUAACGGCGAGCGAACCGGGAACAGCCCAGCUUGAGAAUCGGGCGGCUGUGCCGUCCGAAUUGUAGUCUGGAGAGGCGUCCUCAGCGACGGACCGAGCCCAAGUCCCCUGGAAAGGGGCGCCUGGGAGGGUGAGAGCCCCGUCCGGCCCGGACCCUGUCGCAUCACGAGGCGCUGUCAACGAGUCGGGUUGUUUGGGAAUGCAGCCCAAAUCGGGCGGUAGACUCCGUCCAAGGCUAAAUACAGGCGAGAGACCGAUAGCGAACAAGUACCGCGAGGAAAGA